AUUGAACGCUGGCGGCAUGCCUUACACAUGCAAGUCGAACGGUAACGGGCCUUCGGGUGCCGACGAGUGGCGAACGGGUGAGUAAUACAACGGAACGUGCCCGAUCGUGGGGGAUAACGAGGCGAAAGCUUUGCUAAUACCGCAUACGAUCUACGGAUGAAAGCAGGGGACCGCAAGGCCUUGCGCGGACGGUGCGGCCGCUGGCAGAUUAGGUAGUUGGUGGGAUAAAAGCUUACCAAGCCGACGAUCUGUAGCUGGUCUGAGAGGAUGAUCCGCCACACUGGGACUGAGACACGGCCCAGACUCCUACGGGAGGCAGCAGUGGGGAAUUUUGGACAAUGGGCGCAAGCCUGAUCCAGCCAUGCCGCGUGCAUGAUGAAGGCCUUCGGGUUGUAAACUGCUUUUGUACGGAACGAAAAGCCUUCUUUUAAUACAGGAGGGUCAUGACGGUACCGUAAGAAUAAGCACCGGCUAACUACGUG
Molecule: ribosomal RNA, 482 nt
Filed under: uncultured bacterium
Lineage: Bacteria
Description: partial 16S ribosomal RNA
Rfam family: Bacterial small subunit ribosomal RNA
Source: RNAcentral